This 403-nucleotide ribosomal RNA is filed under the name Verrucomicrobiota bacterium. Its description in RNAcentral is "Verrucomicrobia bacterium partial 16S ribosomal RNA". It matches the Rfam family "Bacterial small subunit ribosomal RNA", at positions 355 to 776 of the family's 1533-position model. The record is from RNAcentral. Lineage: Bacteria; Pseudomonadati; Verrucomicrobiota.
UGGGGAAUAUUGCACAAUGGGCGCAAGCCUGAUGCAGCAACGCCGCGUGAACGAUGAAGGUCUUCGGAUCGUAAAGUUCUGUUGCAGGGGAAGACAAUGACGGUACUCUGUGAGGAAGCCCCGGCUAACUACGUGCCAGCAGCCGCGGUAAUACGUAGGGGGCUAGCGUUAUCCGGAUUUACUGGGCGUAAAUGGUGCGUAGGUGGUCCUUCAAGUCGGUGGUUAAAGGCUACGGCUCAACCGUAGUAAGCCGCCGAAACUGGAGGACAUGAGUGCAGGAGAGGAAAGUGGAGUUCCCUGUGUAGCGGUGAAAGGCGUAAAUAUAGGAAGAAACACCAGUAGCGAAGGCGGAUUUCUGGACUGAAACUGACACUGAGGAACGAAAGCGUGGGUAGCAAACAGG